Molecule: long non-coding RNA, 1018 nt
Filed under: Linum usitatissimum (flax)
Lineage: Eukaryota; Viridiplantae; Streptophyta; Magnoliopsida; Malpighiales; Linaceae
Description: long non-coding RNA (LUSI_LNC007886)
Source: RNAcentral
AGCGCACUCCGAGGUUUGAUAUAUACUUGGAUAAUAUACAGCUCAAUACAUUUUAAAUCUUAUAUAAUAUGAUUUCGUACAUUAAACCAUUAAUUAUGAUUGGUUAAACCCCCAACAACUCGAAUUGGAAAAGAAAAAUACCAACAAAGCUCGAUAUUAGUACAUAUAAUAAGCACACCUCCAACAUUUCACUUAACUCUGACCAAUUUUUUUUGUUGAAGAUAUUUAUUUAAUUAUUUUUAUUUUUUACAUGAAACUAUGAUUAUUAAAUGUAUAUUUAGCAAGGCUUAGGGUUAUAACAAUUACACGUCUUGGGGCCUGCACAGGUUCCAUCAACAUCUUCUGCGUACGCCAUUUUGCACAGGUCAAUGCAUCUCUCUGGAUCACACUUUCUAACGGUCAUGGGUCCUAUCAAACAUUUUCCGGCAUCACUCGUCUCUGCAGCAUUCAUUCCACCUGCGACGACCAACCAUCGGGGAAAUGAAUAUUCGAAAAACUUGAAAAAUACGAACAAAUAUCAUAAUUCAUCAAUGUUGUUUGUUUUUGGGUUUCUCACCCCAAAAGUUAGCUCAAGAGGAGAUCAAAUUUUUCCUCACACUAAUUAUAAACAUCACUAAUUAAUCCCUAAUUUUCCAACUACUCAAGUUCUUGGGAUGUAACGGUUCAUAAGACCAAUAACCUCCCACAUAUCAAUAUCUCAGUAGACUUUACCCAUCUAUCGACUAUGACCAGUUCACCCUCAUACUGUCAACCGGAGCUCUGAAAUUAUUGUUGAGUGUUAUUGGGCUUCUUAAUCAAAAAAUUAGUUCAAAGGACGAAACUUUCUUUCACACUUAUAAACAACAUUCAGACUUUUUUACGUGAUCUUACGAUUGAAAGAAAAAAAACUCACCGGUGAGAAGUAAGGCGAUGAAGAAGAAAGCAAUGGUAUUGAAGCUCUUCAUGUUUGGGAUAGCCACAAGAGUACUAUUCAACAAAGUGAUGAAGAUUUAUCAAACAAAACAAAGUGAUGAAGUUU